GCUGGGCACAGUGGCGCACGCCUGUAAUCCCAAAGGCUUGGGAGGCUGAGACAGGAGAAUUGUGAGUUCAAAGCCAGCCUCUGCAAUGGCGAGGCACCAAGCAACUCAAUGAGACCUUGUCUCUA
RNAcentral lists this small RNA (125 nucleotides) under Marmota monax (woodchuck). Lineage: Eukaryota; Metazoa; Chordata; Mammalia; Rodentia; Sciuridae. The record is from RNAcentral.